RNAcentral lists this ribosomal RNA (492 nucleotides) under uncultured bacterium. RNAcentral's name for it is "partial 16S ribosomal RNA". It matches the Rfam family "Bacterial small subunit ribosomal RNA", at positions 29 to 507 of the family's 1533-position model. The record is from RNAcentral.
AGUGAACGCUGGCGGUAGGCCUAACACAUGCGAGUCGAACGGCAGCACAGUAAGAGCUUGCUCUUACGGGUGGCGAGUGGCGGACGGGUGAGGAAUACAUCGGAAUCUACUUUUUCGUGGGGGAUAACGUAGGGAAACUUACGCUAAUACCGCAUACGACCUACGGGUGAAAGCAGGGGAUCUUCGGACCUUGCGCGAUUGAAUGAGCCGAUGUCGGAUUAGCUAGUUGGCGGGGUAAAGGCCCACCAAGGCGACGAUCCGUAGCUGGUCUGAGAGGAUGAUCAGCCACACUGGAACUGAGACACGGUCCAGACUCCUACGGGAGGCAGCAGUGGGGAAUAUUGGACAAUGGGCGCAAGCCUGAUCCAGCCAUACCGCGUGGGUGAAGAAGGCCUUCGGGUUGUAAAGCCCUUUUGUUGGGAAAGAAAAGCAGCAGGUUAAUACCCCGCUGUUCUGACGGUACCCAAAGAAUAAGCACCGGCUAACUCCGUG